This 673-nucleotide ribosomal RNA is filed under the name uncultured archaeon. RNAcentral describes it as "bacterial SSU rRNA". It matches the Rfam family "Archaeal small subunit ribosomal RNA", at positions 249 to 922 of the family's 1478-position model. The record is from RNAcentral.
CAUACUAGCCUACGACGGGUACGGGUUGUGAGAGCAAGAGCCCGGAGAUGGAUUCUGAGACACGAAUCCAGGCCCUACGGGGUGCAGCAGGCGCGAAAACUUUACAAUGCUGGCAACAGCGAUAAGGGAACCUCGAGUGCCAGGUUACAAAUCUGGCUGUCGAGAUGCCUAAAAAGCAUUUCAUAGCAAGGGCCGGGCAAGACCGGUGCCAGCCGCCGCGGUAACACCGGCGGCUCGAGUGGUAACCGUUAUUAUUGGGUCUAAAGGGUCUGUAGCCGGCCGGAUAAGUCUCUUGAGAAAUCUGGCAGCUUAACUGUCAGGCUUUCAGGAGAUACUGUCUGGCUCGAGGCCGGGAGAGGUGAGAGGUACUUCAGGGGUAGGGGUGAAAUCUUGUAAUCCUUGAAGGACCACCAGUGGCGCAGGCGUCUCACCAGAACGGACCUGACGGCAAGGGACGAAAGCUAGGGGCACGAACCGGAUUAGAUACCCGGGUAGUCCUAGCCGUAAACGAUACUCGCUAGGUGUCGGCCACGGUGCGACCGUUGUCGGUGCCGUAGGGAAGCCGUGAAGCGAGCCACCUGGGAAGUACGGCCGCAAGGCUGAAACUUAAAGGAAUUGGCGGGGGAGCACCACAACGGGUGGAGCUUGCGGUUUAAUUGGAGUCAACGCCGGG